GGUUAAUGAGGCGAACCGGGGGAACUGAAACAUCUAAGUACCCCGAGGAAAAGAAAUCAACCGAGAUUCCCCCAGUAGCGGCGAGCGAACGGGGAGGAGCCCAGAGCCUGAAUCAGUGUGUGUGUUAGUGGAAGCGUCUGGAAAGGCGCGCGAUACAGGGUGACAGCCCCGUACACAAAAAUGCACAUGCUGUGAGCUCGAUGAGUAGGGCGGGACACGUGGUAUCCUGUCUGAAUAUGGGGGGACCAUCCUCCAAGGCUAAAUACUCCUGACUGACCGAUAGUGAACCAGUACCGUGAGGGAAAGGCGAAAAGAACCCCGGCGAGGGGAGUGAAAAAGAACCUGAAACCGUGUACGUACAAGCAGUGGGAGCACAGAGCAAUCUGUGUGACUGCGUACCUUUUGUAUAAUGGGUCAGCGACUUAUAUUCUGUAGCAAGGUUAACCGAAUAGGGGAGCCGAAGGGAAACCGAGUCUUAACUGGGCGUUAAGUUGCAGGGUAUAGACCCGAAACCCGGUGAUCUAGCCAUGGGCAGGUUGAAGGUUGGGUAACACUAACUGGAGGACCGAACCGACUAAUGUUGAAAAAUUAGCGGAUGACUUGUGGCUGGGGGUGAAAGGCCAAUCAAACCGGGAGAUAGCUGGUUCUCCCCGAAAGCUAUUUAGGUAGCGCCUCGUGAAUUCAUCUCCGGGGGUAGAGCACUGUUUCGGCAAGGGGGUCAUCCCGACUUACCAACCCGAUGCAAACUGCGAAUACCGGAGAAUGUUAUCACGGGAGACACACGGCGGGUGCUAACGUCCGUCGUGAAGAGGGAAACAACCCAGACCGCCAGCUAAGGUCCCAAAGUCAUGGUUAAGUGGGAAACGAUGUGGGAAGGCCCAGACAGCCAGGAUGUUGGCUUAGAAGCAGCCAUCAUUUAAAGAAAGCGUAAUAGCUCACUGGUCGAGUCGGCCUGCGCGGAAGAUGUAACGGGGCUAAACCAUGCACCGAAGCUGCGGCAGCGACACUAUGUGUUGUUGGGUAGGGGAGCGUUCUGUAAGCCUGUGAAGGUGUGCUGUGAGGCAUGCUGGAGGUAUCAGAAGUGCGAAUGCUGACAUAAGUAACGAUAAAGCGGGUGAAAAGCCCGCUCGCCGGAAGACCAAGGGUUCCUGUCCAACGUUAAUCGGGGCAGGGUGAGUCGACCCCUAAGGCGAGGCCGAAAGGCGUAGUCGAUGGGAAACAGGUUAAUAUUCCUGUACUUGGUGUUACUGCGAAGGGGGGACGGAGAAGGCUAUGUUGGCCGGGCGACGGUUGUCCCGGUUUAAGCGUGUAGGCUGGUUUUCCAGGCAAAUCCGGAAAAUCAAGGCUGAGGCGUGAUGACGAGGCACUACGGUGCUGAAGCAACAAAUGCCCUGCUUCCAGGAAAAGCCUCUAAGCAUCAGGUAACAUCAAAUCGUACCCCAAACCGACACAGGUGGUCAGGUAGAGAAUACCAAGGCGCUUGAGAGAACUCGGGUGAAGGAACUAGGCAAAAUGGUGCCGUAACUUCGGGAGAAGGCACGCUGAUAUGUAGGUGAAGCGACUUGCUCGUGGAGCUGAAAUCAGUCGAAGAUACCAGCUGGCUGCAACUGUUUAUUAAAAACACAGCACUGUGCAAACACGAAAGUGGACGUAUACGGUGUGACGCCUGCCCGGUGCCGGAAGGUUAAUUGAUGGGGUUAGCGCAAGCGAAGCUCUUGAUCGAAGCCCCGGUAAACGGCGGCCGUAACUAUAACGGUCCUAAGGUAGCGAAAUUCCUUGUCGGGUAAGUUCCGACCUGCACGAAUGGCGUAAUGAUGGCCAGGCUGUCUCCACCCGAGACUCAGUGAAAUUGAACUCGCUGUGAAGAUGCAGUGUACCCGCGGCAAGACGGAAAGACCCCGUGAACCUUUACUAUAGCUUGACACUGAACAUUGAGCCUUGAUGUGUAGGAUAGGUGGGAGGCUUGGAAGUGUGGACGCCAGUCUGCAUGGAGCCGACCUUGAAAUACCACCCUUUAAUGUUUGAUGUUCUAACGUUGACCCGUAAUCCGGGUUGCGGACAGUGUCUGGUGGGUAGUUUGACUGGGGCGGUCUCCUCCUAAAGAGUAACGGAGGAGCACGAAGGUUGGCUAAUCCUGGUCGGACAUCAGGAGGUUAGUGCAAUGGCAUAAGCCAGCUUGACUGCGAGCGUGACGGCGCGAGCAGGUGCGAAAGCAGGUCAUAGUGAUCCGGUGGUUCUGAAUGGAAGGGCCAUCGCUCAACGGAUAAAAGGUACUCCGGGGAUAACAGGCUGAUACCGCCCAAGAGUUCAUAUCGACGGCGGUGUUUGGCACCUCGAUGUCGGCUCAUCACAUCCUGGGGCUGAAGUAGGUCCCAAGGGUAUGGCUGUUCGCCAUUUAAAGUGGUACGCGAGCUGGGUUUAGAACGUCGUGAGACAGUUCGGUCCCUAUCUGCCGUGGGCGCUGGAGAACUGAGGGGGGCUGCUCCUAGUACGAGAGGACCGGAGUGGACGCAUCACUGGUGUUCGGGUUGUCAUGCCAAUGGCACUGCCCGGUAGCUAAAUGCGGAAGAGAUAAGUGCUGAAAGCAUCUAAGCACGAAACUUGCCCCGAGAUGAGUUCUCCCUGACUCCUUGAGAGUCCUGAAGGAACGUUGAAGACGACGACGUUGAUAGGCCGGGUGUGUAAGCGCAGCGAUGCGUUGAGCUAACCGGUACUAAUGAACCGUGAG
RNAcentral lists this ribosomal RNA (2728 nucleotides) under Escherichia coli. Its description in RNAcentral is "partial 23S ribosomal RNA". It matches the Rfam family "Bacterial large subunit ribosomal RNA". Lineage: Bacteria; Pseudomonadati; Pseudomonadota; Gammaproteobacteria; Enterobacterales; Enterobacteriaceae. The record is from RNAcentral.